AUGGUAGGCGCUGGUCGGGAGCGCGCCGAGGCCUCUUCUUCGUCGGUGCGUAGUGUGAGGUCUUCCAUUCCACAUGCACCUCUCCGCCGAGCGUUGCUGGACAGUAUGGCGACACCGCCGGGCCCUUCUUCGUCAACCGCGGUGCCCAGCAGGGGACGAGGUAAGAAGAAGGGCCGAGGUGGAGCACGUGGUCGCGGGAGAGGAGGUAGGGUGACUCUUACGGCGCCUUCCUCGCCGCCCCCCCCCCCAGCUGUUUCACCUGAGCACGUGACUGCUAGGGUGGAAUUGUUUGAGGAGGAGGCUACACGGACUCCGGUCCAUGAGCCUCCGGUCCACGGGUCUUCGGCCCACGAGCCUCGGGUCGACGGACCUUCGGCCCACGAGAGUUGGGCCCACGAGACCCCGGAGGAGCACACGUCUGGAUGGGGUACUUGGUCGGGUCAGCCUGAGGAUGGCGGGGAGCCGAGUGGCCAUGCUGAUGAUGGUGGGGAGCCGAGUGGCCAUGCUGAUGAUGGCGGGGAGCCGACUGAUUUUGAGGAGGAGGGGGAGGAGGGGGGCAACGUCUACCAGCGUGGUGCUACACGGCUCCCGUCCGUGCCGGCGACCCACGAGCAGAGGUGGUUGAUUUUCCCUGAUGGGGAGAGGGGUUGGGACCACCAUGAAAGUGUCCGCCGGCCCAACUCCGUCCUUGGAGUUCUGAUUCGGCAAAACUUUCCGGGGUUUGUCACGUUGCCUGGUGAGGGUCGGCUUCCAGAGGUUGGAUUGAGUUGGGAGCACUACUUGGCUGCCCCGGCCCCGCCGGGUGAGAUUAUCAACGGUGUCUUGUGCAAGACGAGGGCAGACAUGGUGAUCAGAAAGUUCUGGACAUUCUACAGGUGUGAGGAGGGACACGAGGAGGAGGCGGCAGAUGUUAUCCACAAGGAGUGCAAGCGCCUACUUCAGAACUUACGACAUGAGGCUCGGGUGCAGUCUGUUCGAGACUACUACGCCAACCGUGGUAUCAAGAAGUCCAAGCAGGAGUGCCGCGAUAAGUUCUUGAGUAAGGAGCAGUACAUGAAGGCCCCUCAGAGAUGGUGUGCGGAUCGGAUGGAUUGUUGGGAGGUGUUGGUCGAUGGGUGGUGCUCAAAAGAAUGGCGGGCCACCCACAACGAGGCCAAGGACAAAUGUGCCCAAAUGGAAGGUGUGCCACACCACCAAGGCAGCUCCAACUUAUUUCAGUACGGGCGGAACUGGGCAUGCUACAGUAAGGCGGAUAAGGUGCCAGAGGUGUACGACCUAUAUGCCAUGGCCCACACUGGCUCUUACAAGAAAGUCAAGGCAUUCUCUGCGUCUGACCUCGAUGAUCCAAAGAACUUCACCAACAUCUCCGCCCACGACAAGCUCGUGCAAUAUAGAGAUCAUGGGAAGGCGAGGAAAGGGGAGGACUUUAACCCGAGCCAGGGUCCCAUUGAUACAGAGUUGCUGAUGAUAUCUGGUGGCGGGAGGUCCCAUGGCUCCAUAGCCAUGGGAGAUGGACUUAUCCGUUGUCCUAGCACUCUCCCGGAGAUCAAGGCGCGCCAGUCGAGCUCCGCUCCUGAGAUAAGGCCUCGUGAACGGCCAGUCCAGCUCGCCAUCAAGGCUGCUAUACAGAGUGAGAGAGAUAGAACGGAGAAACUUCUGGCGGAGGCGGCAGAGAGGCAGCGGGAGUUGGAGGAGAGGACGACAAAGAUGUUGGAGGAGGAGAGGGCACGGAAUGACAUGCAGGCAAGGGCCAUGUAUGAGCUCCUUGUGUCUGUGUGCGAGAGGUCCGGUCAGACCGCUCCGCCGAUGCCAGUGAUUGCUCCUGGUAGCACGCUUAACUCCAGAAACGCAUCGCACAAUCCUUCUCCAGCUACCGGCACGAGCCAGCCCCCUCCUCCACCUCCCUGA
Molecule: ribosomal RNA, 1908 nt
Filed under: Triticum aestivum (bread wheat)
Lineage: Eukaryota; Viridiplantae; Streptophyta; Magnoliopsida; Poales; Poaceae
Description: partial small subunit ribosomal RNA
Source: RNAcentral